UGGGGAAUAUUGUACAAUGGGCGCAAGCCUGAUGCAGCCAUGCCGCGUGUAUGAAGAAGGCCUUCGGGUUGUAAAGUACUUUCAGCGGGGAGGAAGGCGAUAAGGUUAAUAACCUUGUCGAUUGACGUUACCCGCAGAAGAAGCACCGGCUAACUCCGUGCCAGCAGCCGCGGUAAUACGGAGGGUGCAAGCGUUAAUCGGAAUUACUGGGCGUAAAGCGCACGCAGGCGGUCUGUCAAGUCGGAUGUGAAAUCCCCGGGCUCAACCUGGGAACUGCAUUCGAAACUGGCAGGCUAGAGUCUUGUAGAGGGGGGUAGAAUUCCAGGUGUAGCGGUGAAAUGCGUAGAGAUCUGGAGGAAUACCGGUGGCGAAGGCGGCCCCCUGGACAAAGACUGACGCUCAGGUGCGAAAGCGUGGGGAGCAAACA
Molecule: ribosomal RNA, 427 nt
Filed under: uncultured bacterium
Lineage: Bacteria
Description: partial 16S ribosomal RNA
Rfam family: Bacterial small subunit ribosomal RNA
Source: RNAcentral